RNAcentral lists this ribosomal RNA (565 nucleotides) under Salmonella enterica subsp. enterica serovar Newport. RNAcentral's name for it is "bacterial LSU rRNA". It matches the Rfam family "Bacterial large subunit ribosomal RNA", at positions 1039 to 1605 of the family's 2925-position model. The record is from RNAcentral. Lineage: Bacteria; Pseudomonadati; Pseudomonadota; Gammaproteobacteria; Enterobacterales; Enterobacteriaceae.
CUAAGGUCCCAAAGUCAUGGUUAAGUGGGAAACGAUGUGGGAAGGCCCAGACAGCCAGGAUGUUGGCUUAGAAGCAGCCAUCAUUUAAAGAAAGCGUAAUAGCUCACUGGUCGAGUCGGCCUGCGCGGAAGAUGUAACGGGGCUAAACCAUGCACCGAAGCUGCGGCAGCGACACUGUGUGUUGUUGGGUAGGGGAGCGUUCUGUAAGCCUGUGAAGGUGUGUCGUGAGGCAUGCUGGAGGUAUCAGAAGUGCGAAUGCUGACAUAAGUAACGAUAAAGCGGGUGAAAAGCCCGCUCGCCGGAAGACCAAGGGUUCCUGUCCAACGUUAAUCGGGGCAGGGUGAGUCGACCCCUAAGGCGAGGCCGAAAGGCGUAGUCGAUGGGAAACGGGUUAAUAUUCCCGUACUUGGUGUUACUGCGAAGGGGGGACGGAGAAGGCUAUGUUGGCCGGGCGACGGUUGUCCCGGUUUAAGCGUGUAGGUGUGUGUUCCAGGUAAAUCCGGUUCACUUUAACACUGAGGCGUGAUGACGAGGCACUACGGUGCUGAAGCAACAAAUGCCCUGC